CGCGUAGGCGGCCCGAUCAGUCCGCUGUAAAAGUCCAGGGCUCAACCCUGGAAAGCCGGUGGAUACUGUCGGGCUAGAGUCCGGAAGAGGCGAGUGGAAUUCCUGGUGUAGCGGUGGAAUGCGCAGAUAUCAGGAGGAACACCGAUAGCGAAGGCAGCUCGCUGGGACGGUACUGACGCUGAGGUGCGAAAGCGUGGGGAGCGAACA
RNAcentral lists this ribosomal RNA (207 nucleotides) under uncultured bacterium. Its description in RNAcentral is "partial 16S ribosomal RNA". It matches the Rfam family "Bacterial small subunit ribosomal RNA", at positions 568 to 774 of the family's 1533-position model. The record is from RNAcentral.